This 828-nucleotide ribosomal RNA is filed under the name Epitrimerus nyingchicus. Its description in RNAcentral is "partial 18S ribosomal RNA". It matches the Rfam family "Eukaryotic small subunit ribosomal RNA", at positions 389 to 910 of the family's 1831-position model. The record is from RNAcentral. Lineage: Eukaryota; Metazoa; Arthropoda; Arachnida; Trombidiformes; Eriophyidae.
ACAAGCCUGAGAAACGGCUAGUAGGACUAAGGUCUGCAGCAGGCGCGAAACUUACACAAUGCUAGAUUAAAAUUAGCGAUGUAGUGAAGAAAAAUAACGAUGUACUUACAUUUAAACAUGUUAGUACAAUUGGAAUGAGACGACUAUAAACCAGUCAGUCGAGUAACAAAUGGAGGGCAAGUCUGGUGCCAGCAGCCGCGGUAAUUCCAGCUCCAUUAGCAUACAUUAAAGUUGUUGCGGUUAAAAAGCUCGUAGUUGAAUUUUAGGCGAGCUCUAUUGGGAUGCAACCGUUAAGGGUUCAUGCAGCUUCGGCUCGUGCAAUCUGGUUGUAUUUUCCCUAUAGGAACUCGCUGUUUCGUCACUUAAUCGAGUGCGAAGCGGGCUGGAACGAUGGUCAACUUCGGUUGCCUUGUUACAGCAAGUUUACCUUGAGAAAAUUAGAGUGCUCACAGCAGGCAGUUGGGGUGUAAAAGCUCCUUUAUGCUUGAAUAAUGUUGCAUGGAAUAAUAGAAUAUGGCCUCGGUUCUAUUCUGUUGGUCUUAUAGAACAACAAAUAAGUUGAUUAAAGCGACAAAAAGUCUGUUUGGUUGUGUGGUCUUGAGCGUCUUUUCAUGUUUCUAGUAGCUCUAUCAGUGAUCUCAGUCUGAACUCUGUUACCGGGGGCCUUAAAAUCUCCGAGACUGGUUCUGCUAUGCGUCUCUGUUAUCUGCUAGUGCUGUCUUGUUUGCUUAUUUCCAUUAAAGCACUCCUUACUAGGCUAGCUUUUAGUCAACUGAGGCAAUGGUUAAAAGAAAUAGUCGCGGCGGCAUCAGUACUGCAUCGUGAGAG